Molecule: long non-coding RNA, 128 nt
Organism: Gopherus evgoodei (Goodes thornscrub tortoise)
Lineage: Eukaryota; Metazoa; Chordata; Testudines; Testudinidae
Exons: 3
Source: RefSeq, a predicted model, not a curated record
UGGUGGACGUGCAGGUGAAUGAACCGGUGCUGUUGCGGCUGAUCUGGUUAGGUCCUGUGAUGGUGUCGCUGGCAUAGAUAUGUUGGCAGAGGUGGCAUUGAGGUUUGUUGUAUUUUAAAGCUGUCUUC